RNAcentral lists this ribosomal RNA (559 nucleotides) under uncultured bacterium. RNAcentral's name for it is "partial 16S ribosomal RNA". It matches the Rfam family "Bacterial small subunit ribosomal RNA", at positions 355 to 905 of the family's 1533-position model. The record is from RNAcentral.
UGGGGAAUUUUGGACAAUGGGCGAAAGCCUGAUCCAGCAAUGCCGCGUGUGUGAAGAAGGCCUUCGGGUUGUAAAGCACUUUUGUCCGGAAAGAAAUCCUUGGCUCUAAUACAGUCGGGGGAUGACGGUACCGGAAGAAUAAGCACCGGCUAACUACGUGUCAGCAGCCGCGGUAAUACGUAGGGUGCAAGCGUUAAUCGGAAUUACUGGGCGUAAAGCGUGCGCAGGCGGUUUGCUAAGACCGAUGUGAAAUCCCCGGGCUCAACCUGGGAACUGCAUUGGUGACUGGCAGGCUAGAGUAUGGCAGAGGGGGGUAGAAUUCCACGUGUAGCAGUGAAAUGCGUAGAGAUGUGGAGGAAUACCGAUGGCGAAGGCAGCCCCCUGGGCCAAUACUGACGCUCAUGCACGAAAGCGUGGGGAGCAAACAGGAUUAGAUACCCUGGUAGUCCACGCCCUAAACGAUGUCAACUAGUUGUUGGGGACUUCAUUUCCUUAGUAACGUAGCUAACGCGUGAAGUUGACCGCCUGGGGGAGUACGGUCGCAAGAUUAAAACUCAAA